RNAcentral lists this ribosomal RNA (653 nucleotides) under Salmonella enterica subsp. enterica. Its description in RNAcentral is "partial 23S ribosomal RNA". It matches the Rfam family "Bacterial large subunit ribosomal RNA", at positions 1 to 687 of the family's 2925-position model. The record is from RNAcentral. Lineage: Bacteria; Pseudomonadati; Pseudomonadota; Gammaproteobacteria; Enterobacterales; Enterobacteriaceae.
GGGUUGUGAGGUUAAGCGACUAAGCGUACACGGUGGAUGCCCUGGCAGUCAGAGGCGAUGAAGGACGUGCUAAUCUGCGAUAAGCGUCGGUAAGGUGAUAUGAACCGUUAUAACCGGCGAUUUCCGAAUGGGGAAACCCAGUGUGAUUCGUCACACUAUCAUUAACUGAAUCCAUAGGUUAAUGAGGCGAACCGGGGGAACUGAAACAUCUAAGUACCCCGAGGAAAAGAAAUCAACCGAGAUUCCCCCAGUAGCGGCGAGCGAACGGGGAGCAGCCCAGAGCCUGAAUCAGUGUGUGUGUUAGUGGAAGCGUCUGGAAAGGCGCGCGAUACAGGGUGACAGCCCCGUACACAAAAAUGCACAUGCUGUGAGCUCGAUGAGUAGGGCGGGACACGUGGUAUCCUGUCUGAAUAUGGGGGGACCAUCCUCCAAGGCUAAAUACUCCUGACUGACCGAUAGUGAACCAGUACCGUGAGGGAAAGGCGAAAAGAACCCCGGCGAGGGGAGUGAAAAAGAACCUGAAACCGUGUACGUACAAGCAGUGGGAGCACGCUUCGGCGUGUGACUGCGUACCUUUUGUAUAAUGGGUCAGCGACUUAUAUUCUGUAGCAAGGUUAACCGAAUAGGGGAGCCGAAGGGAAACCGAGUCUUAA